UAGCUACAGGCUUAACACAUGCAAGUCGAGGGGAAACGACAUUGAAAGCUUGCUUUCGAUGGGCGUCGACCGGCGCACGGGUGAGUAACGCGUAUCCAACCUGCCCAUCACUUGGGGAUAACCUUGCGAAAGUAAGACUAAUACCCAAUGACGUCUCUAGAAGACAUCUGAAAGAGAUUAAAGAUUUAUCGGUGAUGGAUGGGGAUGCGUCUGAUUAGCUUGUUGGCGGGGUAACGGCCCACCAAGGCGACGAUCAGUAGGGGUUCUGAGAGGAAGGUCCCCCACAUUGGAACUGAGACACGGUCCAAACUCCUACGGGAGGCAGCAGUGAGGAAUAUUGGUCAAUGGGCGAGAGCCUGAACCAGCCAAGUAGCGUGCAGGAUGACGGCCCUAUGGGUUGUAAACUGCUUUUAUAAGGGAAUAAAGUGAGUCUCGUGAGACUUUUUGCAUGUACCUUAUGAAUAAGGACCGGCUAAUUCCGUGCCAGCAGCCGCGGUAAUACGGAAGGUCCGGGCGUUAUCCGGAUUUAUUGGGUUUAAAGGGAGCGUAGGCCGGAGAUUAAGCGUGUUGUGAAAUGUAGACGCUCAACGUCUGCACUGCAGCGCGAACUGGUUUCCUUGAGUACGCACAAAGUGGGCGGAAUUCGUGGUGUAGCGGUGAAAUGCUUAGAUAUCACGAAGAACUCCGAUUGCGAAGGCAGCUCACUGGAGCGCAACUGACGCUGAAGCUCGAAAGUGCGGGUAUCGAACAGGAUUAGAUACCCUGGUAGUCCGCACGGUAAACGAUGGAUGCCCGCUGUUGGUCUGAAUAGGUCAGCGGCCAAGCGAAAGCAUUAAGCAUCCCACCUGGGGAGUACGCCGGCAACGGUGCAACUCAAAGGAAUUGACGGA
This 890-nucleotide ribosomal RNA is filed under the name uncultured organism. RNAcentral's name for it is "bacterial SSU rRNA". It matches the Rfam family "Bacterial small subunit ribosomal RNA", at positions 37 to 917 of the family's 1533-position model. The record is from RNAcentral.